AUAUCUCUCUGUAUGGGAAGGAUGAGAAGCUUCGACUAAGGUUCGAUUCGAGCGAAAGCGAGAAAGCGUUGCCGCAGGCAACGACCCGAAGGGCGAAGCGCGCAGCGCUGAGUAAUCCUUCCCCCACCACCA
This 132-nucleotide small RNA is filed under the name Salmonella enterica. RNAcentral describes it as "RtT sRNA". It matches the Rfam family "RtT RNA". From Rfam's summary of the family: This family represents a bacterial cis-regulatory element known as RtT RNA. Lineage: Bacteria; Pseudomonadati; Pseudomonadota; Gammaproteobacteria; Enterobacterales; Enterobacteriaceae. The record is from RNAcentral.